This 253-nucleotide ribosomal RNA is filed under the name uncultured bacterium. RNAcentral describes it as "partial 16S ribosomal RNA". It matches the Rfam family "Bacterial small subunit ribosomal RNA", at positions 524 to 776 of the family's 1533-position model. The record is from RNAcentral.
UACGUAGGUGACAAGCGUUGUCCGGAUUUACUGGGCGUAACGAGCGCGCAGGCGGUCGAUCAAGUCGAGUGUGAAAGCCCCCGGCUCAACUGGGGAGGGUCAUUCGAUACUGAUCGACUCGAAGGCAGGAGAGGGUAGUGGAAUUCCCGGUGUAGUGGUGAAAUGCGUAGAUAUCGGGAGGAACACCAGUGGCGAAGGCGACUACCUGGCCUGUUCUUGACGCUGAGGCGCGAAAGCUAGGGGAGCAAACGGG